RNAcentral lists this ribosomal RNA (484 nucleotides) under uncultured bacterium. RNAcentral's name for it is "partial 16S ribosomal RNA". It matches the Rfam family "Bacterial small subunit ribosomal RNA", at positions 30 to 507 of the family's 1533-position model. The record is from RNAcentral.
AUUGAACGCUGGCGGCAGGCCUAGCACAUGCAAGUCGAGCGGAUGAAGGGAGCUUGCUCCUGGAUUCAGCGGCGGACGGGUGAGUAAUGCCUAGGAAUCUGCCUGGUAGUGGGGGAUAACGUCCGGAAACGGGCGCUAAUACCGCAUACGUCCUGAGGGAGAAAGUGGGGGAUCUUCGGACCUCACGCUAUCAGAUGAGCCUAGGUCGGAUUAGCUAGUUGGUGGGGUAAUGGCCUACCAAGGCGACGAUCCGUAACUGGUCUGAGAGGAUGAUCAGUCACACUGGAACUGAGACACGGUCCAGACUCCUACGGGAGGCAGCAGUGGGGAAUAUUGGACAAUGGGCGAAAGCCUGAUCCAGCCAUGCCGCGUGUGUGAAGAAGGUCUUCGGAUUGUAAAGCACUUUAAGUUGGGAGGAAGGGUAGUAAGUUAAUACCUUGCUGUUUUGACGUUACCAACAGAAUAAGCACCGGCUAACUUCGUG